RNAcentral lists this ribosomal RNA (120 nucleotides) under Roseomonas mucosa. Lineage: Bacteria; Pseudomonadati; Pseudomonadota; Alphaproteobacteria; Acetobacterales; Roseomonadaceae. The record is from RNAcentral.
UGGCCUGGUGGCCCUAGCGAGGCUGCCACACCCGAUCCCAUCCCGAACUCGGCCGUGAAACGCCUCAGCGCCCAUGGUACUGCGUCUCAAGACGCGGGAGAGUCGGUCGCCGCCAGGCCA